Molecule: ribosomal RNA, 497 nt
Filed under: uncultured bacterium
Lineage: Bacteria
Description: partial 16S ribosomal RNA
Rfam family: Bacterial small subunit ribosomal RNA
Source: RNAcentral
GAUGAACGCUGGCGGCGUGCCUAAUACAUGCAAGUCGAGCGAACAGACGAGGAGCUUGCUCCUCUGACGUUAGCGGCGGACGGGUGAGUAACACGUGGAUAACCUACCUAUAAGACUGGGAUAACUUCGGGAAACCGGAGCUAAUACCGGAUAAUAUAUUGAACCGCAUGGUUCAAUAGUGAAAGACGGUUUUGCUGUCACUUAUAGAUGGAUCCGCGCCGCAUUAGCUAGUUGGUAAGGUAACGGCUUACCAAGGCAACGAUGCGUAGCCGACCUGGGAGGGGGUUCGGCCACACUGGAACUGGGACACGGUCCAGACUCCUACGGGAGGCAGCAGUAGGGAAUUUUCCGCAAUGGGGGAAAGCCUGACGGGGCAACGCCGCUGGGGUGAUGAAGGUUUUCGGAUCGUAAAACCCUGUUAUUAGGGAAGAACAAAUGUGUAAGUAACUGUUCACGUCUUGACGGUACCUAAUCAGAAAGCCACGGCUAACUACGUG